Molecule: ribosomal RNA, 620 nt
Filed under: Starmerella bacillaris
Lineage: Eukaryota; Fungi; Ascomycota; Dipodascomycetes; Dipodascales; Trichomonascaceae
Description: eukaryotic LSU rRNA
Rfam family: Eukaryotic large subunit ribosomal RNA (bases 78-620)
Source: RNAcentral
UUUGCAUAUCAAUAAGCGGAGGAAAAGUAUGCAUAUCAAAUAUGCGGAGGAAAAGAAACCAACAGGGAUUGCCCUAGUAACGGCGAGUGAAGCGGCAACAGCUCAAAUUUGAAAGUGUUGCAUAUUCCAAAAGCGGAGGAAAAGAAACCAACAGGGAUUGCCCUAGUAACGGCGAGUGAACAGGCAAGAGCUCAGAUUUGAAAGGCACUUUUGUGCCGUUGUAUUCUGAAGUUAGGGUCCUGAGAAACGAUGCUUAAGUCUUCUGGAAAGGAGCGCCAUGGAGGGUGAUAGCCCCGUCUAGCAUUGACCUCAUAUAGGAUCUUAACAUGGAGUCGAGUUGUUUGGGAAUGCAGCUCAAAUGGGUGGUAUGCUCCAUCUAAAGCUAAAUAUCUGCGAGAGACCGAUAGUAAACAAGUACUGUGAGGGAAAGAUGAAAAGAACUUUGAAAAGAGAGUGAAAAAGUACGUGAAAUUGUUGAAAUGGAAGGGUAGGCCGCUAACCAUGUAGAGCCGUGUUUGGGGGGAAGAUAAAUGCUGUAGAAUGUAGCUCCUCGGAGUAUUAUAGAUGCAGUUCAUAUUCCCACCCGAGCGCGAGGAUCUCAGGUCUGCAAAAAUCCUCCG